AUCUUAGCGAUUGAUCUAGUUACUUAGUAAGAUGAGUUAUCCACAAAAAAUAAAAAAAAAUUAUUUAAAUAAUUUAGUAAUAUUUAAAAUAAUAAAAUGAAAAGGAUAAUAGUGAAAAAAAUAAAAUCUUAAUUAUAGAUUAAAUAAUGAUAUGAUCUAUAAUGAUAGUCUUAACCAAAAGUAGUGCCAGCAGUUGCGGUUAUACUACGAAGGCUAACGUUAAUCAUUAAGGCUUAAAGGAUCCGUAGAAUGAUUUAUAAAAAAUUAGAGUUUAUGUUGAGAUUAAAGAAUAAUUAUAGUAAAGAUGAAAUAAUAAUGAUAAUAAUUAGACUGCUUCAGGUGAAGACAUUAAUCAAGAAAUAAACUGACAUUGAGGGAUGAAAGCAUAAGUAGCAAAACGGAUUAGAUACCCGAUUAGUUUAUGCAGUAAACGAUGAAUACUGUUAGGCUAUUUAAUAAUAAUUUAAUAGUCUAAUAAGCGAAAGCAUAAGUAUUCCGCCCGGUGUGUACGUUCGCAAGAAUGAAAGCCAAGACAAUAGACGGUUACAGAUUAAGG
RNAcentral lists this ribosomal RNA (556 nucleotides) under Citeromyces cibodasensis (nom. inval.). RNAcentral's name for it is "partial small subunit ribosomal RNA". The stretch from base 231 to 500 matches the Rfam family "Bacterial small subunit ribosomal RNA", at positions 557 to 873 of the family's 1533-position model. The record is from RNAcentral. Lineage: Eukaryota; Fungi; Ascomycota; Pichiomycetes; Pichiales; Pichiaceae.